This 46-nucleotide small RNA is filed under the name Sinorhizobium meliloti 2011. Its description in RNAcentral is "putative ncRNA". The record is from RNAcentral. Lineage: Bacteria; Pseudomonadati; Pseudomonadota; Alphaproteobacteria; Hyphomicrobiales; Rhizobiaceae.
AACCAUAGGACCGCCUUGGCGACGCGGUUGCUGUGCGUGCCCGCGA